This 305-nucleotide ribosomal RNA is filed under the name uncultured bacterium. RNAcentral's name for it is "bacterial SSU rRNA". It matches the Rfam family "Bacterial small subunit ribosomal RNA", at positions 333 to 656 of the family's 1533-position model. The record is from RNAcentral.
UCUUGCCUACGGGACGCAGCAGUCGGGAAUAUUGCGCAAUGGAGGAAACUCUGACGCAGUGACGCCGCGUGCAGGAAGAAGGUUUUCGGAUUGUAAACUGCUUUAGACAGGGAAGAUAAUGACAGUACCUGUAGAAUAAGCUCCGGCUAACUACGUGCCAGCAGCCGCGGUAAUACGUAGGGAGCAAGCGUUGUCCGGAAUUACUGGGUGUAAAGGGAGCGUAGGCGGGGAUGCAAGUUGGGUGUCAAAACUACCGGCUCAACCGAUAGUCGCACUCAAAACUGCAACUCUUGAGUGAAGUAGAG